Molecule: ribosomal RNA, 456 nt
Filed under: uncultured Entophlyctis
Lineage: Eukaryota; Fungi; Chytridiomycota; Chytridiomycetes; Chytridiales; Chytriomycetaceae
Description: eukaryotic LSU rRNA
Rfam family: Eukaryotic large subunit ribosomal RNA
Source: RNAcentral
GCAUAUCAAUAAGCGGAGGAAAAGAAACUAACAAGGAUUCCCCUAGUAACGGCGAGUGAAGCGGGAACAGCUCAAAUUUGAAAUCUCAGGGCAACCUGCGAAUUGUAGUUUAGAGAAGCGUUUUCGGGAGCAGCCUAGGUACAAGUUCUUUGGAACGAGACAUCAUAGAGGGUGAGAAUCCCGUCCAUGAUCUGGUGCCUGCUCCUAUGUGAUACGUUUUCCAAGAGUCGGUUUGUUUGGGAAUGCAGACCAAAAUGGGUGGUAAAUACCAUCUAAAGCUAAAUAUUGGCGAGAGACCGAUAGCGAACAAGUACCGUGAGGGAAAGAUGAAAAGAACUUUGAAAAGAGAGUUAAACAGUACGUGAAAUUGUCAAAAGGGAAACGCUUGGAACCAGUAUUGCCUGUGAGUAUUUAGCAUUUCGCUUGAGAUGUGACUUGCUCACUGGCGAGUCAACA